CUUGAGGCUGAAUAAUACAUCUUCCCAUGGCAUUCUCCCUGGGUGCAUGUCUGUGUCCAAAUUUCCCCUUUUCAUAAGAACACCAGUCAUAUUGGAUUAAGAGCCCACCCUACUCCAAUAUGACCUCACCUUAACCAAUUACACCUGCAAUGACCCUAGUUCCAAAAAAGGUCAUCAUGUGAGGUACUGGAAGUUAGGACCUCAACAUAGGAAUUUACCAGGGGACACAUAUCAAUCCAUGACACUGCUUGUCAGUGGAUUAAAAAAAAUAAGAAGAACAUUUAACUCUCUCACCCUAUCAGUUUGUUCUCACAUUGCUAUAAAGAAAUAUCUGAAACUGGGUGAUUUAUAAAGAAAAGAAGUUUCAUUGGCUCCCAGUUCCACAGGCUGUUCAGGAAGCAUGGCUGGGGAGGCCUCAGAAAGCUUCCAGUCAUGGUGGAAGGCAAAGGGGGAGCAGGCAUUUUCAAAUAAAUGAAAGUUGAAAGAAUGUAAGGGUAGUAGAAUAGUACUGUAAGAAAUGCUAAAAUAAGUUAUUCAGGGAAA
This is a long non-coding RNA of Sapajus apella (tufted capuchin), 543 nucleotides long. RefSeq lists it as uncharacterized. The transcript is spliced from 3 exons. The record is from RefSeq and is a predicted model, not a curated record. NCBI's taxonomy places the organism in Eukaryota, Metazoa, Chordata, Mammalia, Primates, Cebidae.